AUUGAACGCUGGCGGCAUGCCUUACACAUGCAAGUCGAACGGUAACGGGCCUUCGGGUGCCGACGAGUGGCGAACGGGUGAGUAAUACAUCGGAACGUGCCCGAUCGUGGGGGAUAACGAGGCGAAAGCUUUGCUAAUACCGCAUACGAUCUACGGAUGAAAGCAGGGGACCGCAAGGCCUUGCGCGGACGGAGCGGCCGAUGGCAGAUUAGGUAGUUGGUGGGAUAAAAGCUUACCAAGCCGACGCUCUGUAGCUGGUCUGAGAGGAUGAUCAGCCACACUGGGACUGAGACACGGCCCAGACUCCUACGGGAGGCAGCAGUGGGGAAUUUUGGACAAUGGGCGCAAGCCUGAUCCAGCCAUGCCGCGUGCAGGAUGAAGGCCUUCGGGUUGUAAACUGCUUUUGUACGGAACGAAAAGCCUUCUUUUAAUACAGGAGGGUCAUGACGGUACCGUAAGAAUAAGCACCGGCUAACUACGUG
This 482-nucleotide ribosomal RNA is filed under the name uncultured bacterium. RNAcentral describes it as "partial 16S ribosomal RNA". It matches the Rfam family "Bacterial small subunit ribosomal RNA", at positions 30 to 507 of the family's 1533-position model. The record is from RNAcentral.